Molecule: ribosomal RNA, 1236 nt
Filed under: metagenome
Description: bacterial LSU rRNA
Rfam family: Bacterial large subunit ribosomal RNA
Source: RNAcentral
UGAAUACGAGACGCUAAGGCGUCGAAGUAGUGUAUGUCAUACUUCCAAGAAAAGCUUGCACUGCCAUAGAUAAAAAACGCCUGUACCAUAACCGACACAGGUGGGUAGGUAGAGUAUACUAAGGGGCGCGAGAUAACUCUCUCUAAGGAACUCGGCAAAAUAACUCCGUAACUUCGGGAGAAGGAGUGCCUUAUUCGUAAGGUUGCAAUAACAAGAUCCAAGCAACUGUUUAUCAAAAACACAGGUCUCCGCUAAGUCGUAAGACGAUGUAUGGGGGCUGACGCCUGCCCAGUGCCAGAAGGUUAAAGAAGUUGGUUAGCAAUUGCGAAGCUGAUAACUGAAGCCCUGGUGAACGGCGGCCGUAACAAUAACGGUCCUAAGGUAGCGAAAUUCCUUGUCGGGUAAGUUCCGACCCGCACGAAAGGCGUAAUGAUUUGGAUACUGUCUCGGAGAGGGGCUCGGUGAAAUAGACUUGUCUGUGAAGAUGCGGACUACCUGCACCAGGACAGAAAGACCCUAUGAAGCUUUACUGUAACUUGAAAUUGAAAUUGGACUUUAUUCGCGCAGUAUAGGUGGGAGGCGUUGAUUAUAAUCUUGUGGGAUUAUUGGAGCCAUCAGUGAGAUACCACUCUUGUAAUGUUAGAUUUCUAACUUUGAAUCAUUAUCUGGUCAAAGAACAGUUUCAGGCGGGCAGUUUGACUGGGGCGGUCGCCUCCUAAACGGUAACGGAGGCGUACAAAGGUUUCCUCUGAACGGUUAGAAAUCGUAUCUAGAGUGUAAAGGCAUAAGGAAGCUUGACUGUGAGACCUACAAGUCGAGCAGGGACGAAAGUCGGUCUUAGUGAUCUGACGGUACUGAGUGGAAAGGCCGUCACUCAACGGAUAAAAGUUACUCUAGGAUAACAGGCUGAUCUCCCCCAAGAGUUCACAUCGACGGGGAGGUUUGGCACCUCGAUGUCGGCUCAUCGCAUCCUGGGGCGGUAGUACGUCCCAAGGGUUGGGCUGUUCGCCCAUGAAAGCGGUACGCGAGCUGGGUUCAGAACGUCGUGAGACAGUUCGGUCCAUAUCCGGUGUAGGCGUUAGAAUAUUGAGAGGGGCCUUCUUUAGUACGAGAGGACCGAGAAGGACAUACCUCUGGUGUACCAGUUAUCGUGCCAACGGUAAACGCUGGGUAGCUAUGUAUGGAGUGGAUAACCGCUGAAAGCAUCUAAGUGGGAAGCCCACCUCAAGAUAAGUA